This 468-nucleotide ribosomal RNA is filed under the name uncultured bacterium. RNAcentral's name for it is "partial 16S ribosomal RNA". It matches the Rfam family "Bacterial small subunit ribosomal RNA", at positions 28 to 507 of the family's 1533-position model. The record is from RNAcentral.
GACGAACGCUGGCGGCGUGCUUAACACAUGCAAGUCGAACGGAAAGGCCCUGCUUUUGUGGGGUGCUCGAGUGGCGAACGUGUGAGUAACACGUGAGUAACCUGCCCUUGACUUUGGGAUAACUUCAGGAAACUGGGGCUAAUACCGGAUAGGAGCUCCUGCUGCAUGGUGGGGGUUGGAAAGUUUCGGCGGUUGGGGAUGGACUCGCGGCUUAUCAGCUUGUUGGUGGGGUAGUGGCUUACCAAGGCUUUGACGGGUAGCCGGCCUGAGGGGGUGACCGGCCAGAUUGGGGCGGGGAUACGGCCCAGACUCGUACGGGAGGCAGGGGUGGGGAAGAGUGGACAAUGGGCGGAAGCCUGAUGCAGCAACGCGGCGUGCGGGAUGAGGGCCUUCGGGUUGUAAACCGCUUUGGCCUGUGACGAAGCGUGAGUGACGGUAAUGGGUAAAGAAGCACCGGCUAACUACGUG